Cavia porcellus (domestic guinea pig) is the source of this 73-nucleotide transfer RNA. It matches the Rfam family "tRNA". Rfam says of the family: Transfer RNA (tRNA) molecules are approximately 80 nucleotides in length. Their secondary structure includes four short double-helical elements and three loops (D, anti-codon, and T loops). The record is from Rfam. Lineage: Eukaryota; Metazoa; Chordata; Mammalia; Rodentia; Caviidae.
AGGGGUUUAGCUCAGCGGCAUAAGCGCCUGCCUUGCAAGCAGGCAGUCCUGAGUUCAAUCCCCGGUACCGAUA